GAUGAACGCUAGCGGCAGGCCUAAUACAUGCAAGUCGAACGGGAUCCAGAUCAAAGCUUGCUUUGGUUUGGUGAGAGUGGCGCACGGGUGCGUAACGCGUUAGCAACCUACCCUUGUCAGGGGGAUAGCCCGGCGAAAGUCGGAUUAAUACCGCAUGACAUCAUUGAGAGGCAUCUUUCGAUGAUCAAAGAUUUAUCGGACAAGGAUGGGCUCGCGUGACAUUAGCUAGUUGGUAAGGUAACGGCUUACCAAGGCUACGAUGUCUAGGGGCUCUGAGAGGAGAAUCCCCCACACUGGUACUGAGACACGGACCAGACUCCUACGGGAGGCAGCAGUAAGGAAUAUUGGUCAAUGGACGGAAGUCUGAACCAGCCAUGCCGCGUGCAGGAAGACGGCCCUAUGGGUUGUAAACUGCUUUUAUACGGGAACAAACGUCGGUACGUGUACCGGUCUGAGUGUACCGUAAGAAUAAGGAUCGGCUAACUCCGUG
This 490-nucleotide ribosomal RNA is filed under the name uncultured bacterium. RNAcentral's name for it is "partial 16S ribosomal RNA". It matches the Rfam family "Bacterial small subunit ribosomal RNA", at positions 28 to 507 of the family's 1533-position model. The record is from RNAcentral.